GUCGAGCGAGAAAUCUUGAAAUGAAACUUCGGUAGAUUUUUAAGAUGGAAAGCGGCGGACGGGUGAGUAACGCGUAGGCAACCUGCCUUAUGCAGAGGGAUAGCCAUUGGAAACGAUGAUUAAAACCUCAUAACGCCGGAGAGUCACAUGGUUUUCCGGCCAAAGAUUUAUCGGCACAAGAUGGGCCUGCGUCUGAUUAGUUAGUUGGUGGGGUAACGGCCUACCAAGGCGACGAUCAGUAGCCGACCUGAGAGGGUGAUCGGCCACAUUGGAACUGAGACACGGUCCAAACUCCUACGGGAGGCAGCAGUGGGGAAUAUUGCACAAUGGGCGAAAGCCUGAUGCAGCAACGCCGCGUGAAGGAAGAAGGCCUUCGGGUCGUAAACUUCUGUCCUAUGGGAAGAAAAAAAUGACGGUACCAUAGGAGGAAGCCCCGGCUAACUACGUGCCAGCAGCCGCGGUAAUACGUAGGGGGCGAGCGUUAUCCGGAAUUAUUGGGCGUAAAGAGUGCGUAGGUGGUAACUUAAGCGCGGGGUUUAAAGGCAAUGUGCUUACCAUUGUUCGCCCUGCGAACUGGGAUACUUGAGUGCAGGAGAAGGAAAGCGGAAUUCCUAGUGUAGCCGGUGAAAUGCGUAGAUAUUAGGAGGAACACCAGUGGCGAAGGCGGCUUUC
Molecule: ribosomal RNA, 672 nt
Filed under: uncultured Clostridium sp.
Lineage: Bacteria; Bacillati; Bacillota; Clostridia; Eubacteriales; Clostridiaceae
Description: bacterial SSU rRNA
Rfam family: Bacterial small subunit ribosomal RNA
Source: RNAcentral